Long non-coding RNA from Anopheles coluzzii, 4030 nucleotides. RefSeq lists it as uncharacterized. NCBI's taxonomy places the organism in Eukaryota, Metazoa, Arthropoda, Insecta, Diptera, Culicidae. The transcript is spliced from 3 exons. The record is from RefSeq and is a predicted model, not a curated record.
AGUUCUUCUAGGCUAGCUUUGUGUGCGUAUCCCUUUGCUUCGUAUUAUGAUAUAGUUUACCGUACCUUUUCCUCAAGUGCCGGCAUUUGUGCGAACUUUCUUUCUAGUGCUUGCAUUCGUUUAACUGCCAUAGGGUAGCUAUCGGGGAAAUUUGGAGUCAGAAUUCCAAAGCAGCCCUGUUUCGAAGCGAUUACCUUGCUCGACGCGUUUUGUUGUUUCUUUUAAUAUGCGAUUCGCUCGUCUUUCUUCUUCUGUGUCCAGUUUCUCAUUUGUAACUUUCGUGCAGUAAUCCUCUACCGUGAAGUAGUCUCGCAACAUGUCGUUGACUUCUUUGGUACAAUCUGACUGGGGUGCAACAUGAAAGUUUACUAUCGCUGCUGGUGCCUUGUUUUUUGCACUUCCUCCGUAGAUCGACCAACCUAGUCGACAUAGCGCAGCGAUUGGCUCGGGUGGCCGUCCUUCGCGAAUUUUCAAUGGCACACCAAGCCGGAUAUAGUCCAAUCCGAUCAACAGUUGAGGUUGUGCGCGUGUGUAAUUCUGCAGUGGUAGCCCUUUCAAGUGCGAGUAUCGUUCUUGUAGUACGUCAUAUUUUAGCGUUUGUGUUGGAAGCAUAAGUUGGCUGACUGUUCUCACGUUUUCCAGUCCGUACUUAAUGUUUUUAUCUCUCCCGGAUAUUUGCAGGCAUAUUAUUUCUGAGCCGGGCUCUUUCCUUGUCACUUGUCCUGUCCACUGUAGGGUCAAUGGUGUUUUUUUGCCAUGCACGUUCAACUUUUGGGCUAUCGUUUCAUCGAUUAAUGAGUAUGACGAACCCUCAUCUACGAAAGCAUAAAUUGUUAGUGAAGUGUUAUCAUGGUGCAGGGUAACGGGUAGUAUUGUGAAUAAUGGACUUAUAGCAUUUACCUCAUUUGUGUGUGAUGCGCAUGCGCUUACGGCUUCAUCGGUUGCUACUGUUGGAUGGAGCAACUGGUGGUGCUUCAGGCGACAUCCAUCCACCCCGCAACCUUGCCAGGAUUUACAAGGCCAUUUACCAUGGUUAUUUAGACACGUCCUGCAUAGUGACUUGGUAUUUAUAAAUUUCCAACGUUCAUCCACAUUGGCGGCUUUUAACUGCUCGCAUUCGUAAACACGAUGACCUUCACGUUGGCAUACUGCACAUUGUCUCCUUUGUGUUGCACUAGGAGGACGAUAUGAGGACGUUGACCUUUCGUUUGGUGUUUCAUCUUCAACAUUCAUUCUUACGUGUGUGUUUAAGGCGACCGUAUGUUUUUUUCUUCUUUCUCCUAUUCUAGUUAUUUCGUGUAGGUCAUUCGUAACUGCACAUGCACGUUUUGCCAGUUGUGAGACAUAAUUACUAAAGCCUUCUAGUCCUUCUAUUGCCUUCUCUUCUUGAUAGGCGGCCCAAUUCAACUUCAUAUCACCUGGUAAUUUUUCUUCGAGCUCUUCCAAUAGAGUUGGGUUAUUUAGAUGCGCGUUUAGUUUAGCUGCUUUCAUAUGAUUAGUAAGAGCUCUUACCGAUAAACCAAAUUCUAUCACUGUUCUCAUUCUAUCCGGUCUCGGCGGUGACAUGUAGCGGAGUUAAGGAGCGAACGAAUAAGUAGGCUCGGUUUACCAUAUAUCAUUUUGAGCGUUUCGAGUAUAUCGGGCACAUUCUCUUUCAAAGUAAGUUGAUCUUUCACUAGCUCGAGCGCGUUUCCUUCGAGGCAUCUUUGUAGCCGUAUUAAAUUUUCCGCAUUACUAAACCCACAAGUUUGCGAUGUUUCUUCGAAGGUACUAAAAAAUAGCGGCCAAUCUUCCGGGUCACCACUAAAGUAGGAAACUUCUUUACCAAGUACGUGACGUGCGGCUAUCUGUCUCCCUGAUAGAUCCAAUUGUUCUUUCACUCGUUCCUCCACCAUGGUAUUUUCGUUCGUUCUCUUUCUGGCACUCGAUGUUACAAAGGGCUGUAAAUUCGUUAGCAUCGAGCUGGCGCAAGCGACAGCUUUCUCCCUUUCCUUUUCUCCAGGCGUUUCUUCACUCUUUCUAAGCCAGCACACUACCUUCUCACUAUAGCUCUCCUGUGAACCCAGGUUGCUGGCGCGAGAUUGUUGCAACAGCAGCACGCGCUUUUUCUCGAGUGAUUCACGACGUACGCUGUUUUCGAGAGCAUUCAUCUCCGCUUCGGCUUUAAGCUCUCUCUCCCGAAGAAGACUUUCUUCCUCAGCCAGCUUUCUCUUUUCUUCUAGUUGGCGGGCUAACUCUGCAUUCUCGCGGCGUUUCAGCUCUCGCUUCUCUUCUAUUUCGCGUUCUCUUAAACGUUUUUCUUCUUCAACCAGCUUAAGCUGCUCUUUCACGUUCACUGAGAGAAGAGUGGAAGGUACACUUCCUUGCGCAAUCCUCUUGCUCCUUUUAGUAGAAGCCACUGACCCUUUCUUGGACCGCACUGAAGGCUUUAAACUGGCUGUGUCCCGAUCGUCACGAAAUUUAGCAGCUGUGGUUUCCUGCUUCACUUUGCACUUCGAGCAUACAUACCUCGAUGCUGGAUCUUUCAUCUCCACGAACAGUCCUGCACACUCAGCAUGCUCCCAUUUCGUACACAAGCAGCAUUUUUCCAUCGUGGCUUGCUCUUCUUCGGGUCGGUUGCACAGCUGGCACUUCGGUGUGCUGUCCAUCUUACUUCUUCUCUGAUGCCAGAGAAAAUUUCAGAAAAUGUUGGGAUGAAUUUUCGUUAACCACCUUUGACACGGUUCUGAAACUAUAUUUAAAAUAUUUUAUGACAUACACGAUCACAUUCCAAUUUACUUUUUCACUCACUUUUCUCGUCCCUUCACUAAUCUGAAUAUUUACGCUUCCUUACUAAUCUUCGUCACUCUUGCGGAUUUGUAUUCUGCUCCGUUCUCCUCGCUGGUUGGAUUGCUUCUCCCGACGGUCUACUCUGUCUUUCAUUGCACUUCUCUUGGCGUUCGCUCGGUGAGACUUUCGAACUCAAUCGCCAAGGGUGUUGAACGGUUUCGUCGCAACAUACCCCCACCCCAUAAAUGUUGGGAUGAAUUUUCGUUAACCGCCUUUGACACGGUUCUGAAACUAUAUUUAAAAUAUUUUAUGACAUACACGAUCACAUUCCAAUUUACUUCUUCACUCACUUUUCUCGUCCCUUCACUAAUCUGAAUAUUUACGCUUCCUUACUAAUCUUCGUCACUCUUGCGGAUUUGUAUUCUGCUCCGUUCUCCUCGCUGGUUGGAUUGCUUCUCCCGACGGUCUACUCUGUCUUUCAUUGCACUUCUCUUGGCGUUCGCCCGGUGAGACUUUCGAACUCAAUCGCCAAGGGUGUCGAACGGUUUCGUCGCAACAGCAAUCAAUCAUCAACAGUAGAAAUAGAGCCAGAACAAAGUAUUCCUGUUUUAAGCGCAUCUUCUAUGUCCGGAUCUCAUUUGCAGUUUCUACCAAGAUCGCGAAAUAACUCGUUCGAAGAUUAUUUUGAUUCUAUCGACAACCUCACUAACGUUCUCCCGUCACCUGAAAUUUCUACGAAUUCUCCAAAACCACAGCAACAGAAUACCCCUUCCAGUAGUAUUUCGAACAACCACCCCGUUCAGUGCAGCAAUGCUAUAACAAAACGUGAUGUAGAGCUCAUCCAUACUAAACUAGACUGCUUCUACUGCUUGAUAGAAAAUUUGUUACUGAAAUCACGUGGUUCGGUAGAACAAAUAAGGGCGAGAAAAAAUUUGCAUUUUCAAAUUACACAAAUAUUAAAAAAUUGUUUGUUGAUAUUGCUGGCACAAUGUUCAAACAGCCAACGGAACAGUUCGUUUAUGAAUACUUGGGUCAAAAAUUUAGACAUGCUAGCAAUCGUGUAAAUAUUCUUGGAAAACGAACUACUACUCCUCAUAAUGUUAAACGAAAGAUAUAGAUUUUUUUUAUGACAUGAAUGUCGUUUAGUUUAAUAAGAUUUGGGAAUUAUACUAUUAUUUAAGUAUUUUCCAAAGGUUGCCAGGUCAGAAAAGAGACGAUAAAGAAAACAUAUUCGAAUGUGAUACACAGAUGAAAACAAGGU